RNAcentral lists this ribosomal RNA (497 nucleotides) under uncultured bacterium. RNAcentral's name for it is "partial 16S ribosomal RNA". It matches the Rfam family "Bacterial small subunit ribosomal RNA", at positions 28 to 507 of the family's 1533-position model. The record is from RNAcentral.
GACGAACGCUGGCGGCGUGCCUAAUACAUGCAAGUUGAGCGAUGAAGAUUGGUGCUUGCACCAAUUUGCAGAGCAGCGAACGGGUGAGUAACGCGUGGGGAAUCUGCCUUUGAGCGGGGGACAACAUUUGGAAACGAAUGCUAAUACCGCAUAACAACUUUAAACAUAAGUUUUAAGUUUGAAAGAUGCAAUUGCCUCACUCAAAGAUGAUCCCGCGUUGUAUUAGCUAGUUGGUGAGGUAAAGGCUCACCAAGGCGAUGAUACAUAGCCGACCUGAGAGGGUGAUCGGCCACAUUGGGACUGAGACACGGCCCAAACUCCUACGGGAGGCAGCAGUAGGGAAUCUUCGGCAAUGGACGAAAGUCUGACCGAGCAACGCCGCGUGAGUGAAGAAGGGUUUCGGAUCGUAAAACUCUGUUGGUAGAGAAGAACGGUGGUGAGAGUGGAAAGCUCAUCAAGUGACGGUAACUACCCAGAAAGGGACGGCUAACUACGUG